AGAGUGAACGCUGGCGGCAGGCCUAACACAUGCAAGUCGAGCGGCAGCGCGGGGGCAACCCUGGCGGCGAGCGGCGGACGGGUGAGGAAUACAUCGGAAUCUGCCUUGUUGUGGGGGAUAACGUAGGGAAACUUACGCUAAUACCGCAUAAGACCUGAGGGUGAAAGCGGGGGACCGCAAGGCCUCGCGCGACAAGAUGAGCCGAUGUCCGAUUAGCUAGUUGGUGAGGUAAAGGCUCACCAAGGCGACGAUCGGUAGCUGGUCUGAGAGGAUGAUCAGCCACACUGGAACUGAGACACGGUCCAGACUCCUACGGGAGGCAGCAGUGGGGAAUAUUGGACAAUGGGGGCAACCCUGAUCCAGCCAUGCCGCGUGUGUGAAGAAGGCC
Molecule: ribosomal RNA, 388 nt
Filed under: uncultured soil bacterium
Lineage: Bacteria
Description: bacterial SSU rRNA
Rfam family: Bacterial small subunit ribosomal RNA
Source: RNAcentral